This 498-nucleotide ribosomal RNA is filed under the name uncultured bacterium. RNAcentral's name for it is "partial 16S ribosomal RNA". It matches the Rfam family "Bacterial small subunit ribosomal RNA", at positions 28 to 507 of the family's 1533-position model. The record is from RNAcentral.
GACGAACGCUGGCGGCGUGCCUAAUACAUGCAAGUCGAGCGGACGGAUGGGAGCUUGCUCCCAGACCGUCAGCGGCGGACGGGUGAGUAACACGUGGGCAACCUGCCUGUAAGACUGGGAUAACUCCGGGAAACCGGGGCUAAUACCGGAUAACUCUUUCCCUCCCAUGAGGGAAAGCUGAAAGAUGGCAUCUCGCUAUCACUUACAGAUGGGCCCGCGGCGCAUUAGCUAGUUGGUGAGGUAACGGCUCACCAAGGCGACGAUGCGUAGCCGACCUGAGAGGGUGAUCGGCCACACUGGGACGGAGACACGGCCCAGACUCCUACGGGAGGCAGCAGUAGGGAAUCUUCCGCAAUGGACGAAAGUCUGACGGAGCAACGCCGCGUGAGUGAUGAAGGUGUUCGGAUCGUAAAACUCUGUUGUCAGGGAAGAACAAGUACCGGAGUAACUGCCGGUACCUUGACGGUACCUGACCAGAAAGCCACGGCUAACUACGUG